GUGCUUGCUUCGCCAGCACGAAUACUAAAAUUGAAAUGAUACAGAAAAGAUUAGUAUGGUCCCUGUGCAAGGGUGAUACACAAAUUUGUGAAGCGUUCCAUAUUUUU
Molecule: small nuclear RNA, 107 nt
Filed under: Tupaia belangeri (northern tree shrew)
Lineage: Eukaryota; Metazoa; Chordata; Mammalia; Scandentia; Tupaiidae
Source: RNAcentral